Molecule: long non-coding RNA, 1388 nt
Filed under: Bos indicus x Bos taurus (hybrid cattle)
Lineage: Eukaryota; Metazoa; Chordata; Mammalia; Artiodactyla; Bovidae
Description: lncRNA (ENSBIXG00000016373.1)
Source: RNAcentral
CAAAUGUGCUCAAGUUCACUAAUACUGUGCUUGGUGCACAGCCUCUGGGAUAAGCCAGUAAGUUGAGAAAAGAACAAAACCCCCGGUGGGAUGGUUUUGCAUCCGCAUAUAAAUCUAGAAUUCAUCUCUGCAUACGAAUUGGCUUGCCCCUGAGUAUGAGAUGCUGAGGAUGGACCAAAUGAAAGAAUUCAUACCAGUUGGAGCAGGAAACAAGGAGGAGAAAAUGGACUUUCAGCUACAGCAUGGCCUGAGUGUGGGUAUUUCCAUGGAAAUUCCCCCCACCCUCUCUUUCUUCACCUGUUUGAGGAGAACAAGGAUGGAAACUUUACUUCUGCAGAAAAAAGGUAAGGGGGAUUUCCAUCAUUGCAAACAGGGUCAUUUGGGAUGAAUAGGGCAAGCUGGAUAAAUAUCCAUGGCAUCAGGACCCUAGGGAGGAUUUCUGGGGCUGGUAAGAUUUUACUAUUUGUUUGUUUUUUUGUUCUAUCUGUGGAAACUGUCAAACGAUAAACUUUGUCAAAAUGUUUGUGUAAUGAGGCAGAGUAAAUAAGUGAAUAUAGUCUGUGUAUAGCAAAGUUGGGGGAAAGUAUUAUUCCUCUCUAGAGAGGUCUAAUUAUAGCAAUGAAUUAUAUUUUAUAUACAGACCUUCCUAAAUUAAAAAAAUUAUUUUUUAAUUGGAGUAUAAUUGCUUUAUAAUGUUGUAUUAGUUUCUGCUGUACAAUGAAGUGAAUCAGUUAUGUGUGUGUAUAUAUCCCAUCCUUUUGAGCCUCCCUCUUCCCUCACCUCUCCAUUCCACCCCUCUAGGUCUUCACAGGUCACUGAACUGAGCUCCCUGUGCUGUAUAUGCUGAUCUUCUUUGUUCUUGGUUCAAAUGUAAAUUGAUGGUCAGCAUAUCAUUGAUUAUAUCUGAAGAGCUUCAAAGAGGAUCUCAGAUUGGUGACCUCUGGGUUUGUAUGACCUCUAUGAGCCUCAGGUUGUCUUUCUGCAAAUUGGGCUGGAAGAUGAUCAGAGGCUGUGGGAAGUGGUUCUUUGUUUGAAGCUGGUCUUGAUGCUCUUCCUGAUCUCAAAAUGCAAAAAGAAAAAACAAAAUUGUUUUUAUGAGAAAUAAGAACUGGCUAUUUUCCCGAUGAGGCUGAGGAACUUGUCUCCUAGUAGAUGAGAAUCCGUAAGAGAUACUAAAAAGCUUCCUUCACUCACAUGUUUAUGAACAAAGUAUCUGCUUAGCAUGAUUAAGUACGAGUCUCUGGGCUCAGUAUGCCAAGAAGUACGAUGCUGUGCAACGUGGCUGCUGUAAGGUGGAGAUGCUCCUCAGCCUGAUUUAUGGAGCCUCCAGAUGGGAGCAUGGACCGCUGAGCUAGUUACGGGGUUUGGAAGGAGAGUGCGUCCCCUCC